Molecule: long non-coding RNA, 239 nt
Filed under: Mus musculus (house mouse)
Lineage: Eukaryota; Metazoa; Chordata; Mammalia; Rodentia; Muridae
Description: predicted gene, 47039
Source: RNAcentral
GUUCUCUGGCAGUCCUUCUCUUCUUCCCUAGGCCUCCUUAUUCAGAGGAGCCCGGGAGCGCAAGUGUGCCUGGAAGAAAAGAGCUGGAUGCAGCUCGGGGACCCCUCCCCCCGCCCCAGGCUUUGGGGGUCAGAGCCAUGACAUGGAGUCUUCAGUGAGGCAUGUCAGCAAAACAAACACAGCGACAGAGCCAGAAACAUCAGUGAUUUUUGGAACUUUAGAAUCAUCGAGCCAGAGAG